UGCAUUUCGAAUUUUUGGUUUUCUUCUACGGAGAAUAACCCGUCUGGUAAUACAAGAGCUGCAGUUAGGGCAAUACAAAUCAUGAGUAUUUUGCUUCUCUAAUACCCUCUCAACAUCUAAUUCUGUCUCUUCCUGGUCAGUUUCUUCUAUUUUAUCAAAAUCUCCUUCUAGUAUAGUUUCAUUGUUGAUAGGCUUGGAUUUUAUAUUUUGCUCUUCAUGUGACUCCUCUAAAGGUGUUAAACUUGAACCAGAAAAACCUUCAUCAUCAAAAUUUUCACCAUAU
This 283-nucleotide unclassified non-coding RNA is filed under the name Hevea brasiliensis (rubber tree). Lineage: Eukaryota; Viridiplantae; Streptophyta; Magnoliopsida; Malpighiales; Euphorbiaceae. The record is from RNAcentral.